GACGUAGGGGGCCAGCGUUGUUCGGAAUUACUGGGUGUAAAGGGUUCGUAGGCGGUGUGGCAAGUCGGGAGUGAAAUCUCUGGGCUCAACUCAGGAACUGCGUCCGAUACUGGUUGGCUUGAAUCCGGGAGAGGGACGUGGAAUUCCAGGUGUAGCGGUGAAAUGCGUAGAUAUCUGGAGGAACACCGGUGGCGAAGGCGACGUCCUGGACCGGUAUUGACGCUGAGGCGCGAAAGCCAGGGGAGCAAGCGGG
RNAcentral lists this ribosomal RNA (253 nucleotides) under uncultured bacterium. RNAcentral describes it as "partial 16S ribosomal RNA". It matches the Rfam family "Bacterial small subunit ribosomal RNA", at positions 524 to 776 of the family's 1533-position model. The record is from RNAcentral.